AAAAGCGUGGCCGGGGCGGGCGUGGUCCUCUUUCCCAGAGCUCGGACGUUACGGCUCGCAGCCAACAUGCCGGUGGCCCGGAGCUGGGUUUGUCGCAAGACCUACGUGACCCCUCGGAGGCCCUUCGAGAAGUCGCGGCUCGACCAAGAGCUGAAGCUGAUCGGCGAAUAUGGGCUCCGGAACAAACGUGAGGUGUGGAGGGUCAAGUUCACCUUGGCCAAGAUCCGCAAGGCAGCACGGGAGCUGCUGACGCUGGACGAGAAGGACCCGCGGCGCCUGUUUGAGGGCAAUGCCUUGCUCCGGCGACUGGUGCGCAUUGGAGUGCUGGACGAGGGCAAGAUGAAGCUGGAUUAUAUCCUGGGUCUGAAGAUUGAGGAUUUCUUGGAGAGGCGUCUGCAGACCCAGGUCUUCAAGCUGGGCUUGGCCAAGUCCAUCCACCAUGCCCGUGUGCUGAUCCGCCAACGCCACAUCAGUUUGCUGUCCUUACCUCCUAUGCAGCCCUCAGAGGUGACAAAAGGUGUGACUACACCUUGAGGGUAAGAUUGGCGCCUGCAGACAGCUCAUAGGGUGCUGGGGACAGCCUCAUCCCCCACCUUGUAGCCCAGCGCAAGGGUCACUGCGGCCUGAGCCGUACACCUUGCGAAGGCUUCUUCAGGCAGCUGGACAGGGUCCGAAAGCAAGUGGUGAACAUCCCAUCCUUUAUCGUCCGCCUGGAUUCCCAGAAGCAUAUUGACUUCUCCUUGCGCUCUCCGUAUGGGGGUGGCCGCCCAGGGCGUGUG
RNA transcript from Mustela erminea (ermine), 779 nucleotides. It is a transcript of the gene named ribosomal protein S9, with no coding region annotated. The record is from RefSeq and is a predicted model, not a curated record. Lineage: Eukaryota; Metazoa; Chordata; Mammalia; Carnivora; Mustelidae. The transcript has 6 exons.